GAGGGUAUAGCUCAGUGGUAGAGUGCAUGCCUAGCAUGCACGAGGUCCUGGGUUCAAUCCCCAAUACCUCCA
This 72-nucleotide transfer RNA is filed under the name Camelus bactrianus (Bactrian camel). It matches the Rfam family "tRNA". Rfam says of the family: Transfer RNA (tRNA) molecules are approximately 80 nucleotides in length. Their secondary structure includes four short double-helical elements and three loops (D, anti-codon, and T loops). The record is from Rfam by way of RNAcentral. RNAcentral also lists the same sequence under 2 other names. Lineage: Eukaryota; Metazoa; Chordata; Mammalia; Artiodactyla; Camelidae.